This 253-nucleotide ribosomal RNA is filed under the name uncultured bacterium. RNAcentral's name for it is "partial 16S ribosomal RNA". It matches the Rfam family "Bacterial small subunit ribosomal RNA", at positions 524 to 776 of the family's 1533-position model. The record is from RNAcentral.
CACGUAGGGCGCAAGCGUUGUCCGGAAUUAUUGGGCGUAAGGAGCUCGUAGGUGGUUUGUUACGUCUGCUGUGAAAACCUAGGGCUUAACCCUGGGCUUGCAGUGGAUACGGGCAGACUAGAGGUAGGUAGGGGAGAAUGGAAUUCCUGGUGUAGCGGUGAAAUGCGCAGAUAUCAGGAGGAACACCGGUGGCGAAGGCGGUUCUCUGGGCCUUACCUGACACUGAGGAGCGAAAGCGUGGGGAGCGAACAGG